Molecule: non-coding RNA, 1531 nt
Organism: Manis javanica (Malayan pangolin)
Lineage: Eukaryota; Metazoa; Chordata; Mammalia; Pholidota; Manidae
Source: RefSeq, a predicted model, not a curated record
UCUGGGCCUCUGUCCUCAGUGCUGCCACCACUCCAGCCUCUGCUCUGCUCUCCUGCAGGCUUGCAGCUGUACCACUGUGUUGUCCAGAGCACUGGAUGGAGCUCUUUAUAUAGAGUCAAUAGCAACGUAUUGCCACCCACAUGUAGUGAGCUAACCGACCAGGGCCAGCAUGAUAUUAGAGAGAGCUGGGAGGACAACUUCUAAACACUUGUUGGAGGAAUCAAUAAAUGACAUGAAUCAUUUUCUCCAGCCGAGUUUGCUUGAGCCAUUUACACUCAGUUCGCUUCGAUAGGGCAGUGAUUCUCAGUGUGGGAAUGGAAGAACAUUCCCACUAGGAGAUAUAUCAGGACAAUCUGGAGUUAAAUUAUCCCCCCAUCCUUGGUUGAAACAUACUGGGAUGGGAAAAUAUUUUUUGAGAAUCAGUAGGCUAGCGUUAGUAAGGAAUCUCAUAAGCAGAUGGCCCCAGCAUUCAUUUCCCCUUUCCCUAGGAACAUUUGGAGAUCCACUUUUUUUUUUUCUCAUUGUCCAACUACUUGUUUAUGGUGGAGCUUUAUCUUCAGCUUGACGUGAGGACAGCAUGUGACCCAAAUUUAGAUCAAGGAACAGAUUGUUUCCCCCAGAUUAUGGUGAUUGUUUCUGGAGUGGGCACAUGGCUCGAGCCAGUCAUGUCAGAGUAAAUCUUAGGGCUACGAGAAAAGGCUCUGGCUUUUUACACUGAACUUGAACCUGGAAAAAUGGAAAAUGAGCUGUAGCAACAAUAUUGCCCAUGAGAGUUCCUCCUGGAGCUGAAAAAGAACCACCCGAGGAGCUUGAGAAUGAAUGCAACCCGAGGAAGUCGGACCUCAGAGGGGGAAGACCACUCUCCAUGAUACUGCUUGAGAAAUGAAUUCAGCAGUGCUUGAAGCCAGACUAACUCUUGAUCAUUUUAGUAUGUGAUCAGUAAGUAAUCUAGCUGAAAGAGUUUUAAUUAACAGGAGUAGAGACUGAGAUACGCUAACUGGUAUUUAAGCUGGUUGCCCAGGAACCUCUAGGUCAGAUCCUGGGGUGCUGUACUCAAAGCUUUCUCAGCUGGGUGCUGCUCUGGGAGUGAACCCAGGUGUAGUUGCUUGACUGCUGUUACUUGGUGGGAUAAAUCACUGGGAUAGUCCUGGGGCCAAAAAUCACAUAGGUGCCAAUGUGACUUCCACAUUACACUGCAGUCUUUCCCCUGAUUUACCUACUGCUCCCUUAUGAGUGAAUAUGAUACACAAAAGCAUAUGUGCAGCAUAACAGAUUGUAUAUAUUCUUUGCAGUGUAUGCAAAUAUACACAUGCAUAUAUAUGUAAAUAUAUGCAAGUUUAUUUUUAUAUGCAUAGGGUGGUUUUGAAUGGAAACACCAAAACUAGCAACAAGACUUCCUUAAGGGAGGGAAAUCAAGCAUCUAGGAGAUGAGGUAGGAGGGAGAUGGUUCACUGUAUGCCUUCGUUAUGUUUUGAUUAUUCUAUCAUUUAAACAGUAACUUAAAUCAUUAAAAAACUGUUUAAAAAUUGAA